This 497-nucleotide ribosomal RNA is filed under the name uncultured bacterium. RNAcentral's name for it is "partial 16S ribosomal RNA". It matches the Rfam family "Bacterial small subunit ribosomal RNA", at positions 28 to 507 of the family's 1533-position model. The record is from RNAcentral.
GAUGAACGCUGGCGGCGUGCCUAAUACAUGCAAGUCGAGCGAACAGACGAGGAGCUUGCUCCUCUGACGUUAGCGGCGGACGGGUGAGUAACACGUGGAUAACCUACCUAUAAGACUGGGAUAACUUCGGGAAACCGGAGCUAAUACCGGAUAAUAUAUCGAACCGCAUGGUUCAAUAGUGAAAGACGGUUUUGCUGUCACUUAUAGAUGGAUCCGCGCCGCAUUAGCUAGUUGGUAAGGUAACGGCUUACCAAGGCAACGAUGCGUAGCCGACCUGAGAGGGUGAGCGGCCACACUGGAACUGAGACACGGUCCAGACUCCUACGGGAGGCAGCAGUAGGGAAUCUUCCGCAAUGGGCGAAAGCCUGACGGAGCAACGCCGCGUGAGUGAUGAAGGUCUUCGGAUCGUAAAACUCUGUUAUUAGGGAAGAACAAAUGUGUAAGUAACUAUGCACGUCUUGACGGUACCUAAUCAGAAAGCCACGGCUAACUACGUG